UCAUGGCUCACACUGAUCCAAAAUGGCGAAAUACACAUGUACACACGUGAAAUUAAUUUAUUGUAAAAUUAACGAUUCAAACAGUAAACGAUUUGUUCUAAAACAAUAAUGUGAUAUAAAAUAUGUGAGUUAGUUUGGUUUAUAAAACAAAGAUGAAGUUAUCCACGGCAUCUCUGGUGCUGAGACUCUGUUGUCAAUGUCAAGCCCAGUUCCUUGGGAGAGUGACGAAUAAAUGAGACCAUCUUCACACGAUGACCUGCUACUUCAGUUUGACAAUUUGCCCAGAAUGUGGUGAUGAACGCAGAUGUGUGGACGGGUGCUUCAGCUGGCAGUGCUGUAGCAGGGCUGCGAGCCAAGGAGGACGAUGUUAACUUCAGCUUGUACGAGCACUGUGGAAUCCAUGAGGAGAUGCUGAAGGUAGUUCUGGAUGUGGGCUGUGGAGCAGGAAUUCUCUCAAUGUUUGCUGCCAAAGCUGGGGCCAAAAAGGUCAUUGGAGUUGACCAGUCUUGAGAUCAUCUAUCAAGCCAUGGACAUCAUAAGAUCAAAUAAUCUUGAUGGCACAAUUGCUUUAAUCAAAGGAAGGAUUGAAGAAGUGGACCUCCCAGCUGAAAAAGUGGACAUCAUUAUUUCAGAGUGGAUGGUCCUUGGAUGCCUUUUCACGGUCUCAAAAGAAUCCGGAACUUCCUGUCCAGGCAAUCGUUGGAUGUUUUGACAUAUUCUUGAACAAGAACUGCAGCAACAAGGUCAUGUUCUCAACAGGUCCCCAAGCACUAAAACUCAUCGGAAGCAAACUGUGUUUUUCCUGGAACACCCCUUUCCAGUGAAAUCAGGUUUGUACAACCAGAAUGAAAUGGAGAGAAGAGUUCAUUUUAAAUCCAAAAUGCAAUUGUGAUGGACUGUAAAACAUCAUUGCACGUACAAGCGUUUUGCACAUGUCUAGAAAGUGCAUUGUGCUCCUCUUCUCAAACUGCUGAUUUUAAGAUGUGUUCUUUUUACUAAUGUCAGGAUACAGAACUGGAGCUACUGUAGAUUGGGCUAUGGAACAAGAACCUUGACAUUUUCACCCCAGUUCAGGAUGGAAAUAAGACUCCUGCUGCAAAGCAGUUUGAUCCAUUCCUGGUUUUAUUAGGAGUUUAAUAAGCCACACCUGAGCUUGUUGCCUGUACACUGGGGCUAAUCGAUUACAUAUUAAAAACUGGAAUGGGUGAAACUGCUGUGCAAUUCCCAUCCCUACAGUAUUAAAACAUUUGAUCAUUUACUGUGUGCUACUCAAAAGAAUAACAUUGAAAUGAAUAUAGGGAUUCAGUGUGUGAAUAUUUUAACCAAUCUACACAUUUCUAAGUUUGGGUUAAUGGCCUUUUCACCACAAACUGCAGAGUCCAUCAACAAACAAAUUGACUGCAGUGCACGAUUCCACUACCUCAGAUUGUAUUCACUUUAUCAUAAUGAAAAUCUUAAACCUAUGGGUUAAAAAAAGAUGCUGAUUUAAUAAUAAAGUGAUCAAUAAAGUACAUUUUGCUUUUGUCCAGUCUUCAUCAGUUACACAGGUGAAAGUGAUUUCUCAUUUCUUUAAAUGAGAACAGAAACCUUUCUGAUCACUCAUUUGUUUUGCUAGAUUAAGAUAGAAGAUGGUUCUUUGAUGUAUGUGCAAAACAUAUGUAAGAAAAAAUAUUUAUUUUUCGUUGAAGAACAUCAAAAACUUUUCAGUAGCCUCAGCCAUUGUCAGGGGCUGACAGUUACUAAAAGAAACCGCUAUUUUUUGCUGUUUUAUUGUGAAUACAUGUCUUGUUUAUAACUUGUUCCUGUAUUUGUUUCUGGAAAUGCUUGAUGACCUAUUUUAGGUUUUAGUCUCUCCAACAGCCAAAGCCGCUUAAAAUGCAUUGCCAGUGCAACACGUCUCAAACACUAUGGCUAUUAACCCAAGUUAAUUCUUGCUGUCUGUUCCUUGUGCAAUAUAUUCAAUUAUAUUAUCAAAUACCAAAUACAGUAAAACCUGUCAUAAUGACAACUUCUUUACAGGAACCACUCCCUAUACAUAUGCUUUUAGAUAUAAUCUGGAGAACCCAAGGUUAAUUUUAGCACAAAAAACAAUCCUUUGGCACUACCAAAGAUGUGUUGAAUGAAUGCUGUCAGGGUAGCAGUUCACGUAGAGUUUGUAAUUCCCCAGCAUAUGGUAAUGGCUGAUGUAAUGAAAAGAAACAGAUUUCUGUGCCAGCUGUUUACAAGCUAAGCCACUUUUGAGUGUUUAUAAUGUUUAUCAGCAAAAUUUAAAAGACACAAACAAGUAUUUAACUGCAUAUGUACAGUAGGAUCAUGCAAAAAUAUAUUCUGGUAAUUUACUACCUUGUAAGUAAUACAUUUCAUUAUAUUAACUUUGUGCCCACUAAACAUAUUUCCCCUGUGCUAGCAGCCCUACAUUGGCUCCUGGUGCAGUCUAGGAUUGAUUUUAAGGCCCUGCUCUUAACCUAUAAAGCCCUGAAUGGUCUGGCCCUGUCAUACUUAAGGGAUCUUUUAGUCCCUUAUAUUCCUGGGCGGCCUCUACAAUCCCAGGAUGCUGAGCUGCUUACUGUCCCAAGGGCUUAAAAAAAAAAAAACACAGGUUGUAGGGCCCCUGAACUGUGGAACUCUCCCUGGCUCUAAGAGAGACUUUAACCCUGACACUAUGUACAAGCUGAUUCAGUGCUUUGUUAAACUUAAAACCUCUUUGGAACAAUGAGACCAGAUGACCAAUUAUAUGAACAGCAAUUGAAAUUUUUUGUGGCUCCAUUUAAAAUGCAUAAUUUGAGAAAAUGAAUUACACUUGCAUCCAACCUGCCGUUGCAUUUCAGUUGGAAACUCACAAUUGUGUUGGGAUCAAGAGUAUCAACUGGUUUUGGUAUAUUCGUAUAAUUUACAAAAAUAAUACAUCAGUCAUUUUGGCCUGUGUGAUGAAUUGCUUCAUGUUUAAAAGUUUAUUCAAGUACCCUAUCGCUUUUUUCCAGAUUUCAUUCUAAAACCUGGUUGAUGACAAUUCAAUAAAUAACACUCUCGUUAACACUGGCAUUAUGAUGUAAUUGCACCAGUGUACUCAAAUUAAACUGUGUCCCUAGAGGAUUAUUUAUUUAUUUAUUUAUUUAUUUAUUUAUUUAUUUAUUUUGGAUAUUGUACCAAGUCUGUUGCUUGCCACAAUAAGUUUCACACAGCUGUGUGCUUGAUCCAUCGUGACCUGCUUGCGACCCGAGUUGUGCUUUCACAUGCUAGUUUUCUGUCUUGAUGGACAGAUUUGCUGCCAUUGCAUUGAGGGCCCCUUGUGAAGUUCUGGACACCUUUCACGGUUCACAUGAUUGUUGCUGAAUAUUUGCACAGAACUCAAACACAGCUUAUAUUGUGACUCGUAUGAUGUGCCACAUGACAACAUAGAGUUGCAUACAUUAAAGGCAAAUUUCUCAUUUUACUUACUAGUGCGUUAUUCUGGUCAGUCAGUGUAUUAGAUAGACACGUUAGAGUUGUUAUGCUGUUCGACACAACACAUUACAGUUAUCAAACCAAAAAAAAAUGUAGCUUUCAAAUGAAAAUGGAAGCAGGAAUUGGAGGUGUUGAUGAAUCAAGGCAGGAAAAUGUCAUGCUGCUCAGGCUAAGCACACAUAUAAUGGGUCAUGAAUUCAAAGACAGGCUUAUGAUCCUGCUCCAAAGUGUGAAACUUUGAGAUCAGAUGUUUGAAGUACAAUGUAAAGGAAAUAUAUGGCGCAUUUUGUGUCCAUAGAUGAAAUGCAGCUUAUUGCAGAAAUGUGUGUGUGUGAGGCACUCGCUGUGAAGGGCUAGCGCAGUGUUCUUCACACGGUUCGACGGAGGUGGGAGAUCAAUCCACUAGCACCUUGCGAGCAGAAAAAAAAGGAGGAAGAAAAAUAUUUCACAAUAAUAGAUUUUUAAUGAAUUCAGUUUCCCUUCUAAUCAGACAGGAGUAUUGCAGUUGAAGGGGUGUGAUGAGAGUGGAGUACGGCAGCUCCACUCUGGUGAGAGUUCUCGCAGGCUUAUCGGGGCAGUGGAGCUUUUAAAACAUCAGUCAUUUUACACCAGCAUGACAGUGAUGAAUUGCUCCGAUCAGCCUUUGUGCUACAUAGCCCUUUGUUCAGUCCGGCUAGUAGGAUGCGGCUAUAGUGUGAAGCGGAUUAAGAGGAUAGAGGUUUGUUUUCAAGCCUGUUAAUUAUCUCCUGAUUGUUUAGGUUGGUUGAAUACAGUAGCUGAGGAAGCUAUGUAGGGAAUAGGGAAUCUUCAGCAGUAUCAAAUAAGUCUAGGGUUUGCUUUUUAACAUUGGACAAAAUAUUCAAAUGUUUUAUACAAAUAGCAGAUCAUUUGCAAAAGUUCACUUAAAAAAUACAUUCAUAAAUCUCCCAGAAUUUUUUUUUUUUUAAGUUUAUUGUUUUAAAUUUUAAUUUAUUUAUUUUAACCUUUUUAUGGUGCAUCUGUUAUUUUUAUGUUUGUAAUUUCCUGCAGUGCAUCGUUAAAAGAUUUGUUGUAUAUUGUAAUUUGCAAAAUUGCUACGAAUUAGCUGCAUUUAGCAUCUGCCACCAGCUAGCAGUAAAAAUAAGUUGUCUAUCUUUGCUCUGGUGAAUACAUGAUGGGUGAUCAUCAUUCCCCAAGGGGGAGACUCAUCCCCACCACUAAGAAUGACAACCCUUUAAGCCAGCAGUAUGGACAUCUGUACUGUAUAUUGUGCAUUGAACUCUUUGUGCUGGUAUUGAACUUGAGCAUUGAAGUGGAGAGGGUCAUGUGCAAAACAACCACGAACCAUGAGUCAUAACUGAGGCCUGUUUUUGCAAUAACGUUACAAAUUGUUCCCAUUCUUGCAAUACUGGUCACAAUUUGUCUUGAAGAAUGGUUCCAUUCUUGGGAUCCAAGUUACAGUACACUAUUUAAAAUUAAGCUAAAUUCAAGUAGCAUCCCUAAUUUUAAGACCAAUACAAAAUAUGCAAUUUUUUAUUUAUUUUUUUUUUUUUAUAAAUGAAUUUUCACUGUACUUUUUAUAUGUGGUAUUUUUCUGCAAGAUAAAUUUGAUACUACUAAAGAUUUUGUUUAAUUUAGAAUUGAUUAUUGUAAUGCACGUUUUUCAGGUAUCCCAAAAUGUAUGGUAUCCCGUUUGCAGCUUGAUCAGAAUACUGCCGCUAGAAUUCUGACUAAAACCAGGAAAAGUGAACAUAUUACCCCUGUUUUGGCCUCUUUACACUGGCUCCCUGUGCAGUAUAGAAUUGAUUUUAACAUGUUUCUGUUAACAUAAUAGCAUGGAUUAGCACCUAGUUAUUUGCAGGAGUUACUGACCCCGUAUCUUCCAAACCGCACUCUGAGAUCACAGGAUGCGGGGCUGCUGGUUAUUCCUAGAGUCAACAAAAGCAACACGGGAGGGAGGGCUUUUUCUUGUAGAGCUCCUAAAUUAUGGAAUGCUCUGCCUUUGUUUGUUAAGGAAGCUGGAACCGUUACAGUUUUCAAGUCUAAAAGACUAAAAAUGUACAUUUAUAAAAAGUUUUUGUGGGUUUUAAUGUAACUUUAAAAUUGCUGCUUUUGUAUUAUUAUUAUUAUUAUUAUUAUUAUUAUUAUUAUUAUUAUUAUUAUUAUUAUUCUGUGUAUACUGUUAUUUAAAUGGUCUGACUGUGGCAGUUGUAUGUGUGAUAUGCCAUGCAAAUGUAUUGUGGUUUGUUCUUUUUUUCUGCUAUGCACUAUACAGUGCUUUUGCGAUAUUUUUUUUCUAUAAAAAGCUUUAUAUAAAUGCAAUAAAUAAAAUACAACAAUAUUUUAUAUCUGUUUGUACAGAGUGGAAUUACAUGUGAUCCAAGUUCUUGCAAGCCCCACAUCACUGCGCAGUGGCACUCAAAUCCCAUGUAACCCCGCACACGCAUUAAAUGUAAAUGUAGCUGUAUUUGUUGCCUUUUUAAAAAGAUCAUCUACUUUUCUUCAUUUCUGCACUUGGCUGGUUUGUUCUUAAGGCUGUCAGAUCCAUCGGCAUUCUAAAACAAUUUAAAACCAAUCGUGUGAAUCCAGCUUUUUUAAAUACGCUCCUAGUGGGAUAACAAACAACAGACGACCUACUCAAGAGUAAUCGGGAAGGUGGGGUGAUUAUAUUUAAACUGGUCAGGACUGUCUAAGGCCAGUUUCAGACGGAUGCUCCAGAGGCGUGCCGAACUCGGUUGAAAUAAAGUAGGCAUUAAAGCCGCACUUCAUUAAAUUCGAUGAACCAAUCGGUUUCAUACUGGCGAACCGAAAGCGUAUUGCACUUAUUGCAAAGGUGUCUUAAACAAAAUCACAUAGGAGACAAAUGAUGACAUAUGGUUAUUAUAAAGAAAAACUGUUAUCUGAGAACAGUAGGCCUACACUGCGCAUUGCGAUCGUGUCAAACAAAUACAAUACAA
Acipenser ruthenus (sterlet) is the source of this 6380-nucleotide RNA transcript. It is a transcript of the gene named protein arginine N-methyltransferase 3-like, with no coding region annotated. The transcript is spliced from 8 exons. NCBI's taxonomy places the organism in Eukaryota, Metazoa, Chordata, Actinopteri, Acipenseriformes, Acipenseridae. The record is from RefSeq and is a predicted model, not a curated record.